GCAAGUUGUAGCUCAAGGGUAGAGCGUUGGUCUUGUAAACCAAAGGCUGGAUUUAAUAUCUCACUUGCU
Molecule: transfer RNA, 69 nt
Filed under: Cerithidea obtusa
Lineage: Eukaryota; Metazoa; Mollusca; Gastropoda; Potamididae
Description: tRNA-Thr
Rfam family: tRNA
About the family: Transfer RNA (tRNA) molecules are approximately 80 nucleotides in length. Their secondary structure includes four short double-helical elements and three loops (D, anti-codon, and T loops).
Source: RNAcentral